Molecule: long non-coding RNA, 245 nt
Organism: Leopardus geoffroyi (Geoffroy's cat)
Lineage: Eukaryota; Metazoa; Chordata; Mammalia; Carnivora; Felidae
Exons: 2
Source: RefSeq, a predicted model, not a curated record
GACCUGAGCCGAAGUUGGAUGCUCAACCAACUGAGCCACCCAGUUCUGCAGUAGCCUUAACACUUGGCAGCUUCAGAACUACGGUAGCUAUGAAACCCAGCAGCCUUGCGGCCACUGAAGGGACACGUGGGGCUUGAAUCCCUCAGAACGUCCAAUCUCCAGACCGCGGUCACUUGUCUCACAGCUUUCCAGAAAAGCUCCGGCCCAGGGAGCUACCUGACCUGCCUCAGAGAUUGCUCCGUGGA